Molecule: microRNA precursor, 97 nt
Filed under: Nicotiana attenuata
Lineage: Eukaryota; Viridiplantae; Streptophyta; Magnoliopsida; Solanales; Solanaceae
Description: MIR6152 microRNA precursor family
Rfam family: MIR6152 microRNA precursor family
Source: Rfam by way of RNAcentral
UGGACAGAUUAUUGUAUUCAACUGUAUUCACGGUGUGGAACAGGGGAUUACACUGUUUUUUUAACGGAAAGUGAAUCAAUUAACAUAAUAGACUCUU